Molecule: ribosomal RNA, 468 nt
Filed under: uncultured bacterium
Lineage: Bacteria
Description: partial 16S ribosomal RNA
Rfam family: Bacterial small subunit ribosomal RNA
Source: RNAcentral
GAUGAACGCUGGCGGCGUGCCUAACACAUGCAAGUCGAGCGAUCUUCUUCGGAAGAGAGCGGCGGACGGGUGAGUGACGCGUGGGUAACCUGCCCUGUACACACGGAUAACAUACCGAAAGGUAUGCUAAUACGAGAUAAUAUGCUUUUAUCGCAUGGUAGAAGUAUCAACGCACCGGCGGUACAGGAUGGACCCGCGUCUGAUUAGCUAGUUGGUAAGGUAAUGGCUUACCAAGGCGACGAUCAGUAGCCGACCUGAGAGGGUGAUCGGCCACAUUGGAACUGAGACACGGUCCAAACUCCUACGGGAGGCAGCAGUGGGGAAUAUUGCACAAUGGGCGAAAGCCUGAUGCAGCAACGCCGCGUGAGCGAUGAAGGCCUUCGGGUCGUAAAGCUCUGUCCUCAAGGAAGAUAAUGACGGUACUUGAGGAGGAAGCCCCGGCUAACUACGUGCCAGCCGCCGCCGUAA